ACGUACACUCCUACGGGAGGCAGCAGUGGGGAAUAUUGCACAAUGGGCGCAAGCCUGAUGCAGCCAUGCCGCGUGUAUGAAGAAGGCCUUCGGGUUGUAAAGUACUUUCAGCGGGGAGGAAGGCGAUAAGGUUAAUAACCUUGUUGAUUGACGUUACCCGCAGAAGAAGCACCGGCUAACUCCGUGCCAGCAGCCGCGGUAAUACGGAGGGUGCAAGCGUUAAUCGGAAUUACUGGGCGUAAAGCGCACGCAGGCGGUCUGUCAAGUCGGAUGUGAAAUCCCCGGGCUCAACCUGGGAACUGCAUUCGAAACUGGCAGGCUAGAGUCUUGUAGAGGGGGGUAGAAUUCCAGGUGUAGCGGUGAAAUGCGUAGAGAUCUGGAGGAAUACCGGUGGCGAAGGCGGCCCCCUGGACAAAGACUGACGCUCAGGUGCGAAAGCGUGGGGAGCAAACAGGAUUAGAUACCCUUGUAGUCCCAU
This 478-nucleotide ribosomal RNA is filed under the name uncultured organism. Its description in RNAcentral is "partial 16S ribosomal RNA". It matches the Rfam family "Bacterial small subunit ribosomal RNA", at positions 329 to 798 of the family's 1533-position model. The record is from RNAcentral.